GUCCAGUGGUGCAGUGAUUUGAAUGUUGGAAUAUGACUCUGGAGACCAGGGUUCAAACCCCUGCUCACA
Molecule: non-coding RNA, 69 nt
Organism: Phrynosoma platyrhinos (Desert horned lizard)
Lineage: Eukaryota; Metazoa; Chordata; Lepidosauria; Squamata; Phrynosomatidae
Source: the annotation of a GenBank genome assembly